This 466-nucleotide ribosomal RNA is filed under the name uncultured bacterium. RNAcentral describes it as "partial 16S ribosomal RNA". It matches the Rfam family "Bacterial small subunit ribosomal RNA", at positions 28 to 507 of the family's 1533-position model. The record is from RNAcentral.
GACGAACGCUGGCGGCGUGCUUAACACAUGCAAGUCGAACGGUAAGGCUCCAGCUUGCUGGGGUACACGAGUGGCGAACGGGUGAGUAACACGUGGGUGACCUGCCCUGCACUUCGGGAUAAGCCUGGGAAACUGGGUCUAAUACCGGAUAGGACCAUGGUGUGGAUACUGUGGUGGAAAGUUUUUUCGGUGUGGGAUGGGCCCGCGGCCUAUCAGCUUGUUGGUGGGGUAAUGGCCUACCAAGGCGGCGACGGGUAGCCGGCCUGAGAGGGUGGACGGCCCCAUUGGGACUGAGACACGGCCCAGACUCCUACGGGAGGCAGCAGUGGGGAAUAUUGCACAAUGGGCGGAAGCCUGAUGCAGCGACGCCGCGUGGGGGAUGACGGCCUUCGGGUUGUAAACUCCUUUCACCAUCGACGAAGGGUUUCUGACGGUAGAUGGAGAAGAAGCACCGGCUAACUACGUG